Molecule: ribosomal RNA, 494 nt
Filed under: uncultured bacterium
Lineage: Bacteria
Description: partial 16S ribosomal RNA
Rfam family: Bacterial small subunit ribosomal RNA
Source: RNAcentral
GACGAACGCUGGCGGCGCGCUUAAUACAUGCAAGUCGAACGGAAAGGCCUGCUUUCCCUUGUGGAUUGCGGGUACUCGAGUGGCGAACGGGUGAGUAACACGUGAGUGAUCUGCCCCCAACUUGGGUAUAAGCCUGGGCAACUGGGUCUAAUCACCGAUAGGUCUGUAGGGUGGUGCUUGUGGUGGCAACCGCUUCUCUAGUGGUUGGGGCUGAGCUUGCGGCCUAUGUGCUUGUUGGUGGGGUAAUGGACUACCACGGUGGCGACGGGUCGGCGGGCUGGGAGGGUGGACGGCGACAUUGGAACUGGGAUACGGCCCAGACUCCUACAGCAGGCGGGAGUGGGGAAUAAUGGACGGUAGGCGGAAGGCUGAAGCAGCGGCGCGGGGUGGAGGAUGACGGCCUGCGGAGUGUAAACGCCUGACGAGCGCGAGGGAGCGACCUGGAUGGAAGGGUGGUGACGGUAGUGGUAGAAGAAGCACCGGCUAACUACGUG